AUUGAACGCUGGCGGCAGGCCUAACACAUGCCAGUCGAACGGUAACAGGAAGAAGCUUGCUUCUUUGCUGACGAGUGGCGGACGGGUGAGUAAUGUCUGGGAAACUGCCUGAUGGAGGGGGAUAACUACUGGAAACGGUAGCUAAUACCGCAUGACGUCGCAAGACCAAAGAGGGGGACCUUCGGGCCUCUUGCCAUCGGAUGUGCCCAGAUGGGAUUAGCUAGUAGGUGGGGUAACGGCUCACCUAGGCGACGAUCCCUCGCUGGUCUGAGAGGAUGACCAGCCACACUGGAACUGAGACACGGUCCAGACUCCUACGGGAGGCAGCAGUGGGGAAUAUUGCACAAUGGGCGCAAGCCUGAUGCAGCCAUGCCGCGUGUAUGAAGAAGGCCUUCGGGUUGUAAAGUACUUUCAGCGGGGAGGAAGGGAGUAAAGUUAAUACCUUUGCUCAUUGACGUUACCCGCAGAAGAAGCACCGGCUAACUCCGUG
This 490-nucleotide ribosomal RNA is filed under the name uncultured bacterium. RNAcentral's name for it is "partial 16S ribosomal RNA". It matches the Rfam family "Bacterial small subunit ribosomal RNA", at positions 30 to 507 of the family's 1533-position model. The record is from RNAcentral.